RNAcentral lists this ribosomal RNA (253 nucleotides) under uncultured bacterium. RNAcentral's name for it is "partial 16S ribosomal RNA". It matches the Rfam family "Bacterial small subunit ribosomal RNA", at positions 524 to 776 of the family's 1533-position model. The record is from RNAcentral.
UACGUAGGGUGCAAGCGUUGUCCGGAAUUAUUGGGCGUAAAGAGCUCGUAGGCGGUUUGUUGCGUCGGCUGUGAAAUCCCGAGGCUCAACCUCGGGUCUGCAGUCGAUACGAGCAAACUAGAGUGUUGCAGGGGAGACUGGAAUUCCUGGUGUAGCGGUGAAAUGCGCAGAUAUCAGGAGGAAUACCUGCGGCGAAGGCGGCUUCCUGGCUCAUUACUGACGUUCAGGUACGAAAGCGUGGGUAGCAAACAGG